GCCUUCGUGGUGUAGUGGUCAGCAUACUCGGCACGUAUUCGAGACGACGGGGGUUCGAGUCCCGGUGAGGGCA
RNAcentral lists this transfer RNA (73 nucleotides) under Stegodyphus mimosarum. It matches the Rfam family "tRNA". Rfam says of the family: Transfer RNA (tRNA) molecules are approximately 80 nucleotides in length. Their secondary structure includes four short double-helical elements and three loops (D, anti-codon, and T loops). Further hydrogen bonds mediate the characteristic L-shaped molecular structure. tRNAs have two regions of fundamental functional importance: the anti-codon, which is responsible for specific mRNA codon recognition, and the 3' end, to which the tRNAs corresponding amino acid is attached (by aminoacyl-tRNA synthetases). tRNAs cope with the degeneracy of the genetic code in two manners: having more than one tRNA (with a specific anti-codon) for a particular amino acid; and 'wobble' base-pairing, i.e. permitting non-standard base-pairing at the 3rd anti-codon position. The record is from Rfam by way of RNAcentral. Lineage: Eukaryota; Metazoa; Arthropoda; Arachnida; Araneae; Eresidae.